GCGAAGGUGGCGGAAUUGGUAGACGCGCUAGCUUCAGGUGUUAGUGUCCUACGGACGUGGGGUUCAAGUCCCCCUCGCACCA
Molecule: transfer RNA, 82 nt
Filed under: Klebsiella pneumoniae
Lineage: Bacteria; Pseudomonadati; Pseudomonadota; Gammaproteobacteria; Enterobacterales; Enterobacteriaceae
Description: tRNA-Leu
Rfam family: tRNA
About the family: Transfer RNA (tRNA) molecules are approximately 80 nucleotides in length. Their secondary structure includes four short double-helical elements and three loops (D, anti-codon, and T loops).
Source: RNAcentral